GGCGAACGGUCGCGUAACACGUAAGCAACCUGCCCCGAAGUGGGGGAUAACAGCUCGAAAGGGCUGCUAAUACCGCAUGUGGCCAAGAAAGCGCCUGCUUUUUUGUCCAAAGCCUUGUGCGCUUCGGGAUGGGCUUGCGGCCUAUCAGUUAGUUGGUGGGGUAACGGCCUACCAAGGCGUUGACGGGUAGCUGGUCUGAGAGGAUGGUCAGCCGGAUUGGGACUGAGACACGGCCCAGACUCCUACGGGGGGCAGCAAUUAGGAAUCUUGCGCAAUGGGGGCAACCCUGACGCAGCGACGCCGCGUGCGGGAUGACGGGCUUCGGCCUGUAAACCGCUUUUGAAGGGGAAGAAGAAUGUGACGGUACCCUUCGAAUAAGCCCCGGCUAACUACGUGCCAGCAGCCGCGG
Molecule: ribosomal RNA, 409 nt
Filed under: uncultured bacterium
Lineage: Bacteria
Description: bacterial SSU rRNA
Rfam family: Bacterial small subunit ribosomal RNA
Source: RNAcentral